Molecule: long non-coding RNA, 473 nt
Organism: Chinchilla lanigera (long-tailed chinchilla)
Lineage: Eukaryota; Metazoa; Chordata; Mammalia; Rodentia; Chinchillidae
Exons: 2
Source: RefSeq, a predicted model, not a curated record
AGGGUGAGUACCCAGCAGAGCGGCAGCAGAUACAGCAUGCAAACUGUGCCCAGAAGUGCGCCAUAGAACCUGAAUGACAAGAAAACAAGAUCCGUCAAGAACGCAGGAUGUAACAGCCAAGCACACAUGGUCGCUGGAAGAAGGCAGCCUGUGCUCUCCAGAGAAAUGAUGUCCUGGAAUACUUUCUCUCCCUCUUUUUGACAGCAUCUUGCUAUGUAUCCAGGCUGGCCUCAAAAGGGAAGGCUGUGCUGGGAUUUCAACUACCCAAGACCUUGCCUGGCUUUUCUUUUAUUCUUAACCAGUUAAUUACUAUUCAACCUUCUGAUGUCAGCUUAAACAUCACUCUUGCGCUGGGAAGUCCUUGCCCGUUUCCUCCUAUUUGGCUGGCCUCUACUCAUCACAGUUUCUGCACACAGUAGGUGCACAGUAACUACAGCUUGCUAAAUUAGUAAAUGAGCCACAUUCAACCAGGA